AUGUGUGCUCCAAAGAGAGAUGGUGGUUUAGGGUUCAGGGACCCUGAAGCUUUUAACCAGGCUCUUUUAGCCAAGCAAGCCUGGCGGAUUCUCUCUUCUCCAUCAUCUCUGGUUGCUAGAGUCCUUAAGGCAAGGUAUUUUUGGGAUAGCUCCAUCCUUGCAACUACGUGCCCCUCAAAUGCUUCAUAUACUUUCAGGAGUAUUCUCCAUGGU
Molecule: ribosomal RNA, 213 nt
Filed under: Triticum aestivum (bread wheat)
Lineage: Eukaryota; Viridiplantae; Streptophyta; Magnoliopsida; Poales; Poaceae
Description: partial small subunit ribosomal RNA
Source: RNAcentral